GAUGAACGCUAACGGCAGGCCUAAUACAUGCAAGUCGGACGGGAUUUGGGAGCUUGCUCCUAAUGAGAGUGGCGCACGGGUGCGUAACACGUAUGUAACCUACCUUAAUCAGGGGGAUAGCCUCUCGAAAGAGAGAUUAACACCGCAUAAUAUAUUUUUAUGGCAUCGUAGAAAUAUCAAAUAUUUAUAGGAUUAAGAUGGGCAUGCGGAACAUUAGCUAGUUGGUAAGGUAACGGCUUACCAAGGCUACGAUGUUUAGGGGAUCUGAGAGGAUGACCCCCUACACUGGUACUGAGACACGGACCAGACUCCUACGGGAGGCAGCAGUAAGGAAUAUUGGUCAAUGGGCGCAAGCCUGAACCAGCCAUGCCGCGUGCAGGAAGACGGCCCUAUGGGUUGUAAACUGCUUUUGUACCGGAAUAAACCCUUUUACGUGUAAAAGGCUGAAUGUACGGUAAGAAUAAGGAUCGGCUAACUCCGUGCCAGCCGCCGCCGUAA
RNAcentral lists this ribosomal RNA (498 nucleotides) under uncultured bacterium. Its description in RNAcentral is "partial 16S ribosomal RNA". It matches the Rfam family "Bacterial small subunit ribosomal RNA", at positions 28 to 523 of the family's 1533-position model. The record is from RNAcentral.